Molecule: ribosomal RNA, 301 nt
Filed under: uncultured bacterium
Lineage: Bacteria
Description: partial 16S ribosomal RNA
Rfam family: Bacterial small subunit ribosomal RNA
Source: RNAcentral
CAGUAGCCACGGUAAUACAGAGGGUGCGAGCGUUAAUCGGAUUUACUGGGCGUAAAGCGCACGCAGGCGGUCUGUCAAGUCGGAUGUGAAAUCCCCGGGCUCAACCUGGGAACUGCAUUCGAAACUGGCAGGCUAGAGUCUUGUAGAGGGGGGUAGAAUUCCAGGUGUAGCGGUGAAAUGCGUAGAGAUCUGGAGGAAUACCGGUGGCGAAGGCGGCCCCCUGGACAAAGACUGACGCUCAGGUGCGAAAGCGUGGGGAGCAAACAGGAUUAGAUACCCGGGUAGUCCCUGUCUCUUAUAC